RNAcentral lists this unclassified non-coding RNA (205 nucleotides) under Hevea brasiliensis (rubber tree). Lineage: Eukaryota; Viridiplantae; Streptophyta; Magnoliopsida; Malpighiales; Euphorbiaceae. The record is from RNAcentral.
AAAAGAAGCAUGAUGGUUUCUCCAAUUACUCAGACAUUUAGGCGCUGUCCUCCCACUAUUAGGACAUGCUGAAAGAGCAAUGGUUAGAACAGUGCAAACACCCAGAACAAUUUCUCAAUUAAAGGAUAGAGCUGCUAUACAAAGUUCAUGAAAAGGACAAUAUUUGACAAUCAAAUCAAUGUAUGCAAACAACUCAACAAUAUGA